Molecule: ribosomal RNA, 255 nt
Filed under: uncultured bacterium
Lineage: Bacteria
Description: partial 16S ribosomal RNA
Rfam family: Bacterial small subunit ribosomal RNA
Source: RNAcentral
UACGGAGGGGGCUAGCGUUGUUCGGAAUUACUGGGCGUAAAGCGCACGUAGGCGGCUUUGUAAGUUAGAGGUGAAAGCCCGGGGCUCAACUCCGGAAUUGCCUUUAAGACUGCAUCGCUAGAAUUGUGGAGAGGUAAGUGGAAUUCCGAGUGUAGAGGUGAAAUUCGUAGAUAUUCGGAAAGAACACCAGUGGCGAAGGCGACUUACUGGACACAUAUUGACGCUGAGGUGCGAAAAGCGUGGGGAGCAAACAGG